Molecule: ribosomal RNA, 497 nt
Filed under: uncultured bacterium
Lineage: Bacteria
Description: partial 16S ribosomal RNA
Rfam family: Bacterial small subunit ribosomal RNA
Source: RNAcentral
GACGAACGCUGGCGGCGUGCCUAAUACAUGCAGGUUGAGCGCUGAAGGUUGGUACUUGUACCAACUGGAUGAGCAGCGAACGGGUGAGUAACGCGUGGGGAAUCUGCCUUUGAGCGGGGGACAACAUUUGGAAACGAAUGCUAAUACCGCAUAAAAACUUUAAACACAAGUUUUAAGUUUGAAAGAUGCAAUUGCAUCACUCAAAGAUGAUCCCGCGUUGUAUUAGCUAGUUGGUGAGGUAAAGGCUCACCAAGGCGAUGAUACAUAGCCGACCUGAGAGGGUGAUCGGCCCCAUUGGGACUGAGACACGGCCCAAACUCCUACGGGAGGCAGCAGUAGGGAAUCUUCGGCAAUGGACGAAAGUCUGGCCGAGCAACGCCGCGUGAGUGAAGAAGGUUUUCGGAUCGUAAAACUCUGUUGGUAGAGAAGAACGUUGGUGAGAGUGGAAAGCUCAUCAAGUGACGGUAACUACCCAGAAAGGUACGGCUAACUACGUG